Gorilla gorilla gorilla (western lowland gorilla) is the source of this 853-nucleotide long non-coding RNA. RefSeq lists it as uncharacterized. Lineage: Eukaryota; Metazoa; Chordata; Mammalia; Primates; Hominidae. The transcript is spliced from 4 exons. The record is from RefSeq and is a predicted model, not a curated record.
UCAAAAAGAACAAUUGUGGGAUGGAAAUGGUGACAGUAAAAUAUGCAGUGUUGAUGCAGGAGCAGGGAAAGGUGACGCUGAUUUUGCUGGGCCAGUUUUCUGGAAAUAGUUUGAAGAUACCGACUCAUGGUCAAAUGUUUCACGUUUACCCUCAGAAAUGAGUGCUACUGUUCAGAAACGGAGGUGCCCACUUUGCUUGUGGGAUUUAGGAGGAAAUGCCACACACUGUUACAGAAAAAAUGGUGUCUCGCUCUAUUGCCCAGGCUAGAGUACAAUAGUGCAAUCUUGGUUCACUGCAACCUCCCCCUCCCAGGUUCAAGCCAUUCUCCUGCCUCAGCCUCCCGAGUAGCUAGAACUACAAGCACAUGCACCAUACCCAGCUAAUUUUUUGUAUUUUUAGUAGAGACAGGGUUUCUCCAUGUUGGCCAGGCUGGUCUCGAACUCCUGACCUCAGGUGAUCCACCGCCUCAUCCUCCCAAAAUGCAUUAUCUCCUCCCAAAAUGCAUUAUCUAUUUCAUUAAGAAAAAGGAAAAAGCUACCAUGCUAAGCUUCAAAUAAAAGCAUGUGCGCACACCUGAUGAUGCUAGACCCACUGGAAUCUCGCAUAACUCAUCCUGAACAGGUUGGGAAUCAAGUCUCUCAGGAUUAGCCCUGGUAAUCUGAAAGUCACCAGUCAUCAAGAAGUGGCAUCUCUACCAUGUGGUGCAAUCACAGCCCUGAACUCAAAUUUCUGUCUGAUAUAUUUGAUGUGAUCCCUCCUUUUAUAUCCUUUUAACUUCUGCUUGGAGAGACCCACUGACCUUGUAGCUAACUGUCAUAACUUUUCCUUGCCAGGCCAGCAAUAAAUUUGGCA